Molecule: ribosomal RNA, 253 nt
Filed under: uncultured bacterium
Lineage: Bacteria
Description: partial 16S ribosomal RNA
Rfam family: Bacterial small subunit ribosomal RNA
Source: RNAcentral
UACGGAGGGUGCAAGCGUUGUUCGGAUUCACUGGGCGUAAAGGGUGCGUAGGCGGAUCGGUCAGUCGGAUGUGAAAUCCCGCGGCUCAACCGCGGGACGGCAUUCGAUACUGCCGGUCUUGAGUACUGGAGAGGAAAGCGGAAUUCCUGGUGUAGCGGUGAAAUGCGUAGAUAUCAGGAAGAACACCGGUGGCGUAGGCGGCUUUCUGGCCAGAUACUGACGCUCAGGCACGAAGGCUGGGGGAGCAAACAGG